ACUAACAGGAUCGAGAAUUUGUCGAGAUUGAAACUCCCCAUAAUGGUCAACCAAAUCGACUUUUGUCCACGCCUCCUCUAUCUCCAGCGACAUCUGUCUCAUCUAGCAAUAACCCUUUACGUUCCUGUUGUGGUAGGCGCUGUGGGCGGAAAAAAUAUCAGCAACACAGUGGCGUAGGAACAUCAGAUCAAGACGACGAGCUGAAUGACAGUGAAGUGCGAAUCGUGCCAAUCAAUACGUCUUCCUCUGGUGAAUUGCAUCAUCACAGUAUCGACCUCUGUCCCACACCCAUGAUUGUUGCUCUCAAGUUACCCCCUGGAGGUAGUGGGGUGACUACAACCAUGUCUCAGCCUAGUCCUAACUCUGAAACGGAAGCCACAUUGUCUGUUGAGACGAUGAGCACAGCCACUCCAUCGCCUGGUAACACGAGUACCUGUCCCAUGGUUCGGAUAUCUACACUUUAACAUAGCUGCGGUUCUUGAUGUCUUGGGAUAGCUAAGAAAUGGUCAAGACUGACCGAAGAUGAAGACUCAAAGAGUCUGUAAUUCCAUUGGCUCAAUCUGAGGCUGUACAGUGCAGCAGAAGUCUACCAAGGAUAAUACAAGUCUACCAGGGAUAAUACAAGUCUACCAGGGAUAAUACUUCCAAUAUCCUUGUGUCCCUUUCUGUCGUGUUCUACGUUCUGUUGCUCAAAACGCCGCUUUAUUAAACAUCAAUCAGGGACUUUAUGACUAAAAUAAAAACAACAACCAAACUGGCCUAGAGAGAAACUAGUCCACAACUGAUAAUCAUUUACUUCAAAACUAGAGUGUUCUACUUACAUUAAUUAAAUGUUAAUAUUUUUGUUUCUUUCAAAUCAUGCAUGCUUCUAACAGAAGCUAAGUUUUAAACUAAGAAUCAUGUAGAUGCUAUUGUACAGUAAAAGGUGAAGAAAAUAAUUAAUAAUCCAUUAGCUAAGACAAUUACAGAUAAAACAUAUCAGUAGGAGGCAUCAAUCCGGAACAAACUGUUUAACGUCGUUAUCAGUGACAAUGAUUUAUUACUCAAGCAGAGAAGAAUUAAAACUUUUUUUUAUCCUUUAA
Long non-coding RNA from Limulus polyphemus (Atlantic horseshoe crab), 1082 nucleotides. RefSeq lists it as uncharacterized. The record is from RefSeq and is a predicted model, not a curated record. The transcript is spliced from 2 exons. NCBI's taxonomy places the organism in Eukaryota, Metazoa, Arthropoda, Merostomata, Xiphosura, Limulidae.